Long non-coding RNA from Ictalurus punctatus (channel catfish), 648 nucleotides. Lineage: Eukaryota; Metazoa; Chordata; Actinopteri; Siluriformes; Ictaluridae. The record is from Ensembl.
CACGGCGCAGCCUCCCGGCCAGCCCCAGAGUCAGGCCCUGGGCAUGCAGCCGCUUCCUCCACAGCAGCCCAUGUUCCCUCGACAGGGGCAGGGCAUGCAGCAGACGCAACAGCAACAACAGACCGCCGCUUUGGUCAGACAACUCCAACAGCAGCUGUCAACUUGAGGUAAAAAAAAUGACGUGAUUCCGAGUUCAGACUUCCCACUUCCAAGUUAAGUCGAUCGCAAUAAUAAAUGCACACAGCCAGGACAGAACACCAACUCGUAUUACCCCAAGUACGAGUGAGUCCUGCGUGGCCCUCCUGACACGGACCGGACGAUUCCGGAGUCGUCUUGAGCCGGGAGGCCCUCGGACACGAGAGACUGAUCCCCAGCCGAUCCGAUAUCUGACCACAGUGCUGUUUCUAGGAAUAAAACCUCUUUCAGAUUUUGUGUAAUUCCACGACGGUCCGAGGUAUGAGGCUGUGAACUGGUGAUCAUGAAGCGCAAGGAAGGACUUUAUGUAAAAAAAAAAAAAAAACACACACACACAACACAAAAAAAAAAAAAAAACACGAAAUGAUGAGAGUAAUGCAGUGUUUUUUAUUUUAUUUUACUUUGUACAAUUUUUCAGUUUCGUGUAUUCUCAUUAAAAAAAAAAACAAGUCG